GGGAAGGUAGAAGGUGGGGUCUGCCGGACGCGUGUUCCUGCCACCAGGUGCCCGCUCCCCGCAAGGCCGGCUCAGGAGCAGAAGGAAGCCCGGUGCCAGCCAGCCUUCAUGAAAGACCAAGCCCGCGCCAUCCGGCUUCCUCCAGUGGACGCCUGCAGGACCCAGGAACACUACAUCAACACUCUUGGCGGGGACCUGGACACAGAAGACUCCUGUUUCAAGAAAAUACAAUCAUCUCUCAAAGGCUGUAAUUUAUAUGCAUUUUAAAACUCUCUAGGCAUUGAAAACUACCCAAGUGUCCCAAAUAGAAGGGUAAUAUAUAAUCAAUCACUCAGUGUAAUAUUAUACAUCCUUUAAAAAUGUUGUUGGGAAAUGUUUUAUGAUCUGUAAGUCCAAGGAAUCCUCUCCCACCAUUUCUUUCUCCCCGCUGUUCCCCCAUACCCACACUUCUUUGUUCCAAUUGGCAUGUAAAUUUGGUUUUCCCGCCAAAUGAGUCAGUCAUGAUGGGAACCUCAACUGAUUUGAACAGAUGUGUGUCAAUGUUACUUGGAAAACUAGAUGUCAAUAACCAGGGUCACAGAAAAAGGCAGUGGUCGCAACUCUGUAAAAAUGUAUGCAUGCACACAGACAAGGACUAAAGUGGAACCCCACACAGGAAAACAGUGGGCUGUACUCCAGUGCUGGGACAUUGAAUGACUGUAUGCUGCUUUUGAUUUCCGUCAAUAUGGGCAACUGUCCAAUUAAAAAAAACUCCUAAGGA
Molecule: long non-coding RNA, 760 nt
Filed under: Pongo abelii (Sumatran orangutan)
Lineage: Eukaryota; Metazoa; Chordata; Mammalia; Primates; Hominidae
Description: lincRNA
Source: RNAcentral